GGAUUAGAUACCCUGGUAGUCCACGCUGUAAACGAUGAUCACUCGUUGUCGGCGAUACACUGUCGGUGACUAAGCGAAAGCAUUAAGUGAUCCACCUGGGGAGUACGAUCGCAAGAUUGAAACUCAAAGGAAUUGACGGGGGCCCGCACAAGCGGUGGAGCAUGUGGUUUAAUUCGAUGAUACGCGAGGAACCUUACCAAGGCUUAAAUGUACCAUGACCUCCUGAGAAAUCAGGAUUUCCUUCGGGACAAGGUACAAGGUGCUGCAUGGUUGUCGUCAGCUCGUGCUG
This 289-nucleotide ribosomal RNA is filed under the name uncultured bacterium. Its description in RNAcentral is "partial 16S ribosomal RNA". It matches the Rfam family "Bacterial small subunit ribosomal RNA", at positions 775 to 1067 of the family's 1533-position model. The record is from RNAcentral.